CUGCCCUUGAAGUAGGGGAUAACACUUGGAAACAGGUGCUAAUACCGUAUAACAACCAAAACCACCUGGUUUUGGUUUAAAAGAUGGCUUCGGCUAUCGCUUUAGGAUGGACCCGCGGCGUAUUAGCUUGUUGGUAAGGUAACGGCCUACCAAGGCAAUGAUACGUAGCCGACCUGAGAGGGUAAUCGGUCACAUUGGGACUGAGACACGGCCCAAACUCCUACGGGAGGCAGCAGUAGGGAAUCUUCCACAAUGGACGAAAGUCUGAUGGAGCAACGCCGCGUGAGUGAUGAAGGGUUUCGGCUCGUAAAACUCUGUUGUUGGAGAAGAACAGGUGUGAGAGUAACUGUUCACAUCUUGACGGUAUCCAACCAGAAAGCCACGGCUAACUACGUGCCAGCAGCCGCGGUAAUACGUAGGUGGCAAGCGUUGUCCGGAUUUAUUGGGCGUAAAGCGAGCGCAGGCGGUUUCUUAGGUCUGAUGUGAAAGCCUUCGGCUUAACCGGAGAAGUGCAUCGGAAACCAGGAGACUUGAGUGCAGAAGAGGA
RNAcentral lists this ribosomal RNA (547 nucleotides) under uncultured bacterium. Its description in RNAcentral is "bacterial SSU rRNA". It matches the Rfam family "Bacterial small subunit ribosomal RNA", at positions 125 to 658 of the family's 1533-position model. The record is from RNAcentral.